Long non-coding RNA from Ictalurus punctatus (channel catfish), 3695 nucleotides. NCBI's taxonomy places the organism in Eukaryota, Metazoa, Chordata, Actinopteri, Siluriformes, Ictaluridae. The record is from Ensembl.
CCUGCACAGGCCCCGUCUUCCCUCUGGUCUGUCCACUGUGGGCGUGUCCCGAACACUGAAGUCCACGCCCUCAGAGACGUUUACUCGGAAUGAAGCCCAGGACGCUGGAGCUGUGUAUUUUACAAAGCUUUAUUCAGAUCAUUUUCCUCUGCAAUAUUUACAGCAUAAGUUACUGAGACAUCUUUCUGGCAUCCUGAAAGAGAAUCGGUCUUUAGCAUGCGCUCGUAUCCGGAAAAUCAGCACACCAAGGUUUUUGCAUAUUUUUAUUGCAUUAGUCACUGUGUGAGGACUCAAAGUUUAAAUAUGAAAAAACCCAGAAGAUGUGGCUUCAAAUGAGGAUUAGUGUUAAUGUGUAGUAAAAUGUGUGCAGCGUUUCAGGCAGCGUGGAAUCUCCGAGCAGUGAGUCAUGGACCAGUGGCGAGUCUCGGACGGAGGAGCGAGAGAGUCUCAGAUGGAGGAGCGCGUCUCGGAGCGGUGACGGGGUCUGACGCCCAGCUGAGUCUCGGAAAGAUGAGAGUCCCAGAUAAGCGAGGAGUCUCAGAGCAGUGAGUGAGUGAGCGAAUCAGGUCAGUGAAUCAGAGCAGUGAGUGAGUGAGCGAAUCAGGUCAGUGAGUGAGCGAAUCAGAGCAGUGAGUGAGUGAGCGAAUCAGGUCAGUGAGUGAGCGAGCGAAUCAGGUCAGUGAGUGAGCGAGCGAAUCAGGUCAGUGAGUGAGCGAGCGAAUCAGGUCAGUGAGUGAGCGAGCGAAUCAGGUCAGUGAAUCAGAGCAGUGAGUGAGCGAAUCAGGUCAGUGAAUCAGGUCAGUGAAUCAGGUCAGUGAAUCAGGUCAGUGAAUCAGAGCAGUGAAUCAGAGCAGUGAAUCAGAGCAGUGAGUGAGUGAAUCAGGUCAGUGAAUCAGAGCAGUGAGUGAGUGAAUCAGGUCAGUGUAUCAGAGCAGUGAGUGAGAGCAUCUCGAGAAUGAGUCUCAGUACACAGACGUGUUUGAGUACUGAAUCAGUUCAGUGGUCGGAACUCGGUGUGGCGGUACACGAGUCUAUAAUGACCAAAAUAUCUUCAAAUGAAAGCCCUGUUCACACCGGGACGUCUUUCACAGCGCAUUAAACGGUCCGUUUAACGCUCCGAUGGCUGUCGGUGAGAGAGUUCACACGCGUAAAAAGCGUUGCGUCAGAGCGCCAGAUUGUUUUUAACAUCGACGUGUUUGUUUAUUGGGGUUUUGUUUUUAUGUGCCGACUUGGACUUGGAGUUCAAGUACAAAACUGUCUGAAUGAAGAAGCAGCAGCAGCAGCACCCAUCAUUUCUGUAAGAGUGCAUGUGACACAAAAUAAAAUGCUCAGUGCUAAUAAAUCCUUCCGCGUGCACACACGCACACACACACGCAGUCCUGUCACCAGAGUCACGAUUACACACUAAGUGUUAGCACAGUGCUGUUUAUUAAUUGCCUGUAACUUUAAUGAUCGAGUAGCAACACAAUGGAGCUAAAGCCUGGAGUCGAGUUUCUAGUCCAAACUGAUGUUUAUUCUCGACUCGUUGAUGUGGUGGUUAUUUUUGUGACGAGACUGAAAUGCAGGAAUAUAUUCUAAAUAUUCUAAAUAUUCUAAAUGAUCCGUUUAAUUCUUUCAGUUUUAUUUUCUACAUUAAUUAGCAUUGUUUCUUUGUCUGUUCCCUGCAAAUAAUAAUCUGCUGAUUGAUCCGUUGUGUUUAUUCUGCACCUGGCAUACAGGUGCAUUUAAAAAAAUGUGAAUAUUGUGGAAAUCUUUUUUUUUUUUCUUCUGUAAUUUAAUUUUAAAAAGGAACUUUCAUACAUUCUAGAUAUAUUUCUUCUUUUUGUUUUAUUACAGCUCACGGAAAUCAAAUCCAGCAUCUCCAAAAAAAUGUGAUUUAAAAAAUGUAAAUCCCAUAAAUUUGUGAAUGCUAUUGUAAAGUUGUGCAGCGCCACCUUGUGUACCGGGGGUAUUUCUGCUUUUCAAUAAGCGCCAUCUGCUGUCAGGGAGUGAAUUGACGCUUUCUUUCAGCGCGGCGCUCGUGUUUCACGCCCGCCUGUGAACACCAAACCCGGCACGGAGAAACGGACCGGUGUGAACACGCCCUAAAUGUCGUGACUCGUUUAAGCACUGGAAGUUAUCACGCCGCUUUACCCAUGAUGCAGAGCGAGAGAAUCGGACAGACCCUGAUGUAGCUGUAACGAGGACGAGGUUCUACGCCCUGCGAGGGUUCAUGAUCGGAGAGGAAGGCUCGGUUCUGACCCGGGCCGGUCCACUCGUCCUGACUCGCUGCUCUACAGAGAUCCUGCACUCUGAAUAAACACGCCGGAAAUCAACAGAAAUAACAACACAGGAGAUAUAAAUAAAAACAUUCUCUAAACCCAUUCGAAUGUUCAGUUAUUAGCGGCGAACGACUGAACAAUUAGAACUGUAAAGGAACCGUUUGGAUAAAGAUGAAACCCAGCAGCGUUUGAGGUCGUGUUUCCUCCCAAACCACCCCGAGUGGCCAUGUGCCGAUAUCUCACUUCGCUCCACUUCACUGCGUUCUGCAGAAGAUAUAAAGCUGUUCCUCUGCUAGAUUUACAGUAAGUGUUCAAAUAUAUGAAAUACAAUAAAUAAUACAGUAUAUAAUUACAUAAACAGAUACAUCUGACAUAUUUACUAGAAUUAAACAACCUAAUUAAAUGAAUAUGAAUUAAUAUUAAUAAUAAUUUCUGAAUUAAUACAAUAAGAAACGAUGCUUUAGUAAUCGGACGUUUUCUCCCCCAAACAUUUGACACAUUUAUUGUAUUUCAUAUGUGAUUUAAAACGAACAAAAAUACAAACAUCCACUUUAUUUAGGCUUUCUUAAUAAUUUUAUACAUAAAUAAUUUUUAAUUUUAUACAUUAACCCCGCCCCCUAAAAGGUUAGAUAGAGAAUUAAACAUGACUUUGUUCUUUACUGGUUUCAUGUUCCUUCGAUUUUCUGUGUUCAUUUAUUUAAGGACUCAGAGCAGGAUUCUGUCUAUGAAAGGAAGAGACAGUGUGAAUAUAAUAAUGAUGAUAACAGUAAUAAGCGGUGGGUAAAGCGUCAUGCUGGGACAGUUUGGGGUUUGAAUAUCAGCACAUGGCCACGCUGAUCAUCUCCCGCAUCACCUCUAACAAUUCAUCUUCAUCACCUCCUUCCUGAAUGAAGGAGGAACGUGCAGGACACGAGGGCACCCCCGUGUGUGUGUGUGUGUGCGUGUGUGUGUGCGUGUAUGUGCGUGUGCGUGUGUGUUUCUGUCUCUCGGCUGAAGCGUAUGGUUCUGCUGGAAGACGUGUGCAGCUGUUCUGAUGGUUUGUGUCAGCGUGUAGAUCAUCAGCCUGAGAAGAACGAGAGGAGAACAGUGAUGUAGAAACGCCGCCGAGCUCCGGGAGAAGAAUUCAUCACCGUCAUCAUCACCAUCAUAAUCGUCAUCAUUAUUGUAACGCCAGGACAAUUUGUUCCUUCAACUAAGAUUUAUUUAUAUAUCUAAACAUAUAUUUAAUACUUUUCUGUUUCGGAUUAUUUUUUUUUAAUUGUUUUAUUUUUUUGUAAACAAAUCCAAACUGAUACUAUUAUUAUUAUUAUUAUUAUUAUUAUUAUUAUUAUUACAGAAUUGACUUGAAGGCAACAAAUGAAUGUGAAACUAUAUUUUCACUAAACAAUAAAGAACACGUGUUUAGAAUAAAAAAGAAGAUUAAUCAGAUUAAAG